Molecule: long non-coding RNA, 1067 nt
Organism: Mauremys mutica (yellowpond turtle)
Lineage: Eukaryota; Metazoa; Chordata; Testudines; Geoemydidae
Exons: 2
Source: RefSeq, a predicted model, not a curated record
CACCGCCGCCAGGGGACGAGCCGUCGCCGGCCGCGGCCUGGCUGAGGGGCCGCGCGCCCCACCGCAGCGGGGCCCCCCGCAGCAGCGAGGCCGCGCGCAGCCAGCACAAAGAACCGCUCAUCGCUGCCUUGCCUAGCGACGGCUUCUUACACCGAGAGACACAGGCACUCCGAUCCACCUCCAGUCCGCUCCUCCUCCCCAUUGGCAGAGGCGACAAAACGUCACGGAUAGCCUCACCCACAGAGAGGCAGAAAUAUCUGUCAAUCCACAUCCGUGACCAAUAGCCUGCAUCAGAGACUUUUUCUGGCCCAUCCACCAGUUCAAGGCGCUUCCUCCCUAUUGGCCGAGCCUGGGAUCAUACGGCAGGCCUUGAGUGGAUAUAAAAAAUUGUCAAUCGACCCGCGCAGCCAAUAAUGCGCCACACAUCCGCAUGUGCCCGCCCACUGAAUUAUUAAUCCAGCCCCUUCUGCAUUGCUAUUGGCUGCACUAGCCGCGUAGGCUGAGGCUAGUCCGGGUCUCGAGACAGGAAGGAGGGGGGUAGCGGCAGCGGCGUGAGGAAUUUUUGGCUGCUUCCGCUUCCGGCGUGGUGAGCUCUGUGGCGCGGGGCCGGCGUUGCGGGGCACCUCGGAGGUUAGUGAUUCAAAUCACCUGCUCUGAAGAAAUCUGAAUGUGGCUUCAAUGGGAAUUUUAAGGACAUCUUAUGCACCCCUAAUGUUGCAGAUGUUUCUGUUGGGGAAGCCAAUCUCUUCUCAUUAUGAAGACCUGUAAUAUAUGAUAAAAAUAAGUAACAUUUAAGUGAAGUUGCAGAGCUUAUACAAUCCCUCUAAUUUGUCUUGUAAUCUGAAUGGAUUGCCUAUUAUAAUGGGCACCUAGUUGCUAAAUUGAUUUGUAGCACACUUCCAGUGAACUACUUAAAACUCUAUAGUUCUUGUACUAUUGACAUUGCUCAUGCUACAUAAUACAACAUUAUUCAGUACCACACAACUGACCCUUGUGUAACUCUUGGCUUCAUGGGAUACAAAACUAGCUAUACAUCUCUGGAUAAAUAAAAAGACUAUUAGUAAACA